RNAcentral lists this ribosomal RNA (119 nucleotides) under Daucus carota subsp. sativus. The record is from RNAcentral. Lineage: Eukaryota; Viridiplantae; Streptophyta; Magnoliopsida; Apiales; Apiaceae.
GGGUGCGAUCAUACCAGCACUAAUGCACCGGAUCCCAUUAGAACUCCGAAGUUAAGCGUGCUUGGGCGAGAGUAGUACUAGGAUGGGUGACCCCCUGGGAAGUCCUCGUGUUGCACCCC